AAGGGCACCACAAGAACGCGUGGAGCAUGUGGCUUAAUUUGACUCAACGCGGGGAAUCUUACCGGGUCCGGACACACUGAGGAUUGACAGACGGUUAUUGACUUAUACUCGCUUAAUAGCUUUAAGCUGUUAAGUGUUUAACACCUUUACACAAAGAUGCUAGUCCUUUCAUGAUCGUUUGAUAGGUGGUGCAUGGCCGUUCUUAGUUCGUGGAGUGAUCUGUCUGCCUAAUUGCGUUUCACUAAGGUCCCAUUCUUCAUACGUAUGAAUAGCGUCUUAACUCACUUUUACCGCUACCUAUUUGUAGUAAGCGCUCAUACUAUUGGGACCGGAAUGCAACGAGCGCGACUGCACCACCUAAUUGCCCCUUAUCUACCAUUAAUUACUUUAUUAACCGCCCUGUACGGGCACCGGGGCCUUACCUUUACUGAAACUAGCUGGACCGCUGCUUUCCUUUAAGCCAGAGGAAGGUUGCGGCAAUAACAGGUCUGUGAUGCCCUCAGAUGUUCCGGGCCGCACACGUGCUACAAUGAUCAGCACAAAGAGUAUUACCUAUCUUCUUAUACCUAACCCAAUAUGUUAAACUUAUUGCGUAAGGAUAUUGUCUUAACGACUUAUCCGCUUUAGCGCUUUAAGAUUAUUGGGCGGUUAUGCCUGCCUCGAGAGAGUGUACAGGGCAGCAAGAGUAAUGAUUCCCUCGUUUUUACUACUAAUACCGCGCUUGGUAACAUAUUACACUCGAUUAAGUAGGGUCUUUGCUUCUAAUAGCAAUUGCUAUCCUCACCCUUAGGCUCUAAAGAUAUUACUAUCUCUAAGGUCUACAGGGAGGUGUAUAUGGCGCACUUACUUAUUCACGGUGGGGACAGACCAUUGUUAACUG
Molecule: ribosomal RNA, 880 nt
Filed under: Globorotalia truncatulinoides
Lineage: Eukaryota; Foraminifera; Rotaliida; Globorotaliidae
Description: SSU rRNA
Rfam family: Eukaryotic small subunit ribosomal RNA (bases 4-659)
Source: RNAcentral